UUUACAUCAUCCCAAACAAAGAUUUGUUGUCAUUUUUGGGUUAGACUGCCAAUAGCAGAAACUAUGUCCCUGAGUACACUGGUUUGACAGCACCACUGAGUCUUUUGGUAAAAAAGCAGGGUUGGAGAAAUCUUAAUGCAUCACUGAAUUGGAACACAGACGCCAGGAAUCGUUCAUUUAGUUUAAACAGCUGCGGUAGUUUGCUGCAUAAUUGCUCUUUCAGGAUUACUGUCUGCCUUUUUAUUUAGAUGUUUCUGUAACAACAAUGUUGUUUCAGCGAAAAGGGGGAUAUAGAGGUGAUUCAGUAUGUUAGCUGUAUGCUAGAUAAUAUGGAAAAAGACAUGUUGAUAUGAAACAAUGGUUGAGAAGUGGAUUUGUGAUUGCAGCACAGAAGCUAAUCAAACAUAAAAAUUAAAUUAGAUUCAUGGCUCGAGCUUUGUUGUUGCCUAAAAAGGAGCAGGUUAUGCAUGCAGCUUCAAUAUAGUAAGUGUUGAAGCUGAGAACUUUGAACAUCUAAACCUGGAAAAAAUCAAACAGCAUCACAAAAGGGGUUCUCCACUUGAGGAACUUACUGUGUGGAAGAGAAAAGGCCCUGGUGAUAAAAGUUGUGAAGCCACCAAACAUGAGAGAACACAUUUCGGAAGAGGGACAUGGAACAUCACAUGUAAGUUUAAAACUACACCCCACCUGGGAAGGAGAUCAUCAUUGACUACACAGACAUGGUAUCCACAGCAAGAGCAUAUAGAUACAGGUUGGUCUGUGUGGAUGGAUAUUCAGGAUGGCCUGAGGCAUGGCCCACAAGAAAGGAACACAGUAAGUAUUUGGUAAAAUGUUUAAUUAAUCAUUAUAUUCCCAGACAUGGCUUCCCGGAAAAGAUAAGGUCUGAUAAUGGAACUCAUUUCAGGAGCAAAGAUCUGCAACAGGUGGAGCAAAUGUUGGGACUAAAACAUGCUUUGGGUACAGUACAUCAGCCUCAAUCACAGGGCAAAGUUGAAAGAAUGAACCAAACAUUGAAAACAAAAUUGGCUAAAAUCUGUGCACAGACCAAAUUAAAUUGAGUGGAUGCUUUGCCAGAGGCUUUAAUGUAUGUCAGGAUGUCUGGUUAAUCAGUCCACAGGUUACACCUCACAUGAACUACAGACUGGGACCAGCACAGCGGAUACCAGGACAAACAGGUGAAUUUGCACAAUUAUCUUCUAACACGUUCUUUAAUGAGUUGCAGACCCUAGCAGCAGAGUUCUCCAGAGGACCUGAGGGAACAAGAGGCCCCCCUGUGGUACCAGGAGUCAACUGGGUGUCGCUCAAAGUCAUCAAGCCAGGAACCCAGGUUCACAGGCCCGUUCCAAGUCCUGGAAAGAACAUCUCAUGUGGUUCGUCUGAGAGGAAAAGGAGAAAUCUGGUAUCAUUGGAGCCAGUCUGCACCAGCUGAAGAGCCUACAAAGUCACAA
This is a long non-coding RNA of Girardinichthys multiradiatus, 1448 nucleotides long. RefSeq lists it as uncharacterized. The record is from RefSeq and is a predicted model, not a curated record. The transcript is spliced from 2 exons. Lineage: Eukaryota; Metazoa; Chordata; Actinopteri; Cyprinodontiformes; Goodeidae.